This 747-nucleotide long non-coding RNA is filed under the name Equus caballus (horse). RNAcentral's name for it is "lncRNA (ENSECAG00000048844.1)". The record is from RNAcentral. Lineage: Eukaryota; Metazoa; Chordata; Mammalia; Perissodactyla; Equidae.
CCAUAAACUUCAAACCGAAUGUAACGAGAGUUCUCACUGAGCAAGGAAAAUGAAGUCAAGCUAGAGGAAAAGUGGUUCAUAUUUUUUAGAUGGGACUAUGAAAAAUUUAAGCCAACUCACAUGGCAUUUUAGAGAUGCUCAGUUCCAGACAAUGUGGAGAUACUGUGUGAGACCUCUGUCAAAGGUGGAAUGCUUCACUCUACGAGAAAUCCAGCACCUCUGAGCUGACAUGAUCCCCUUGGUGGAGGGGAUGCCCAAAGAGUGCCUGCCACACGCACAGCCGAGAUUCACGGGUGUGACCAGGCUAGUGCUUCCAAGGACAGAGACGUUCUGGCCUCCUGACGUCUGGAGUCUGAGCCUCUCCCAGUCCGGGAACAUACCCAUUAGAAGAGUCCCUCCAGUGGGUGAGCUGAGAAGUUUAAAGAGGCUUCCUUCAAACCAGGAUCAUAAAAAUAGUUAUCCAUAUUUUCUUCUAUUAAUUUCAAGCCUUCAAGAUAACUUUUAAAUUGUUGAUCCGUCUGGAAUUUAUUUUGGUAUAAAAGUAAGGAAAACAAAUUACAAAAGUAACCUAUGCUUGCUAUAACAAAGUCAAACAAUACAGACAUGUGGAGAAUAAGCCUUGACAACCUCUCUCUCUUCCCCUUUAACAACACAUCCCAGAGGAAACUCCAAUCAGCUGCUUGUUGAGCGUCCAUCCUUUCAGAUGUUCUCCCAUUCUUAUGCAUAAAAGCGUUUCAUGAAGAAGAG